This 301-nucleotide ribosomal RNA is filed under the name uncultured bacterium. RNAcentral's name for it is "partial 16S ribosomal RNA". It matches the Rfam family "Bacterial small subunit ribosomal RNA", at positions 509 to 807 of the family's 1533-position model. The record is from RNAcentral.
CAGUCGCCACGGUAACACGUAGGGCGCGAGCGUUGUCCGGAAUCAUUGGGCGUAAAGCGCGUGUAGGCGGCUGAGUAAGUCUGCUGUGAAAGUCCAGGGCUCAACCCUGGAAUGUCGGCGGAUACUGCUCAGCUGGAGUACGGGAGGGGCGAGUGGAAUUCCUGGUGUAGCGGUGGAAUGCUCAGAUAUCAGGAGGAACACCUAUGGCGAAGGCAGCUCGCUGGAACGUUACUGACGCUGAGACGCGAAAGCGUGGGGAGCAAACAGGAUUAGAUACCCCCGUAGUCCCUGUCUCUUAUAC